Molecule: ribosomal RNA, 422 nt
Filed under: Paroncheilus affinis (bigtooth cardinalfish)
Lineage: Eukaryota; Metazoa; Chordata; Actinopteri; Kurtiformes; Apogonidae
Description: Apogon affinis (bigtooth cardinalfish) partial 12S ribosomal RNA
Rfam family: Bacterial small subunit ribosomal RNA
Source: RNAcentral
GGCGCUUCACACCCACCUAGAGGAGCCUGUUCUAGAACCGAUAACCCCCGUUUAACCUCACCUUCUCUUGUUCCCCCAGCCUAUAUACCGCCGUCGUCAGCCCACCCUAUGAAGGCCCAGCAGUGAGCGAAACUGGCACAGCCCAAAACGUCAGGUCAAGGUGUAGCGCAUGAGAAGGGAAGAAAUGGGCUACAAUUGCUUAAAUAGCUAAAACGAAUUGUACCGCUGAAAACGCACACAUGAAGGAGGAUUUAGAAGUAAGGGGCAAGCAGAGUGUCCCCCUGAAAUGGUUCUGAAGCGUGCACACACCGCCCGUCACUCUCCCCAAGUUAAAACCCCAGCAUUAACUAAAUAUUGAAACCUACAAAGGGGAGGCAAGUCGUAACAUGGUAAGUGUACCGGAAGGUGUACUUGGAAUAAAC